GGGGAUAUAGCUCAGUUGGUAGAGUGCUUGCCUCACAUGCACAAGGACCUGGUUCAACCCCAGCAGCUCCC
RNAcentral lists this transfer RNA (71 nucleotides) under Ictidomys tridecemlineatus (thirteen-lined ground squirrel). RNAcentral's name for it is "Spermophilus tridecemlineatus (thirteen-lined ground squirrel) tRNA". It matches the Rfam family "tRNA". From Rfam's summary of the family: Transfer RNA (tRNA) molecules are approximately 80 nucleotides in length. Their secondary structure includes four short double-helical elements and three loops (D, anti-codon, and T loops). Further hydrogen bonds mediate the characteristic L-shaped molecular structure. tRNAs have two regions of fundamental functional importance: the anti-codon, which is responsible for specific mRNA codon recognition, and the 3' end, to which the tRNAs corresponding amino acid is attached (by aminoacyl-tRNA synthetases). tRNAs cope with the degeneracy of the genetic code in two manners: having more than one tRNA (with a specific anti-codon) for a particular amino acid; and 'wobble' base-pairing, i.e. permitting non-standard base-pairing at the 3rd anti-codon position. Lineage: Eukaryota; Metazoa; Chordata; Mammalia; Rodentia; Sciuridae. The record is from Rfam by way of RNAcentral.